UACGUAGGGUGCGAGCGUUGUCCGGAAUUAUUGGGCGUAAAGAGCUUGUAGGUGGUUUGUCGCGUCUGCUGUGAAAAUCCGGGGCUCAACCCCGGACUUGCAGUGGGUACGGGCAGACUAGAGUGUGGUAGGGGAGACUGGAAUUCCUGGUGUAGCGGUGGAAUGCGCAGAUAUCAGGAGGAACACCGAUGGCGAAGGCAGGUCUCUGGGCAUUAACUGACGCUGGAGGAGCGAAAAGCAUGGGGAGCGAACAGG
Molecule: ribosomal RNA, 255 nt
Filed under: uncultured bacterium
Lineage: Bacteria
Description: partial 16S ribosomal RNA
Rfam family: Bacterial small subunit ribosomal RNA
Source: RNAcentral